RNAcentral lists this long non-coding RNA (569 nucleotides) under Panax ginseng (ginseng). RNAcentral's name for it is "long non-coding RNA (PGIN_LNC015037)". The record is from RNAcentral. Lineage: Eukaryota; Viridiplantae; Streptophyta; Magnoliopsida; Apiales; Araliaceae.
GAUAUUAAGGAUUUAAAAAUAUUUUAAGUUAUAACUAAUGACUUUUAAUAUUUGGAUGAAUAGUACAUUAAUAUAUAUAUAUAAUAAUGGUGAUUAUUUAAAAAUGAUUUUAAUUGUUUUAAAAAUCAUUUAAGGGUAAUAUAAAUGUUUUAAAAAUAGUUUGAGUUAUUAUAAAUAACUUUUAUAUUUUGGCAAUGGUUUCAUUAAUAGUUUAAUAUAAAUUAAUUAUUAAUGAUAAUGGAAUUGUUUAAUGUUUAAGUCAUUUAAUUAUGAUUCCGAUGUUUGAAAGUUAUAGCCGGCCAAACUAGCUGACUAGAGAACCGGUUAUGAAGUCCAGGAUUUGAUGAAGAGCACCCAUAGUAACAGUUAUAUCACUAUAAGCCCUUGAGUGACAGGUUUGAUUUAUUUUAAAUUUUUUAAUUUCAGGAAAAUUCGAAAAUGAUUAAAAGUAAAAUGUCUGAUAUUUACAGAUGUUGAGGUAUAGAAUAAGAGUCUUAGACUCAGUAUUUACCCGAUAAAGCUGUCGGUACGCCGAUAAAUGUCAGACCCUAUUAUAGAAAGAAAAGGCU